AGACCAUCCCCCCAUUCCUAAAGUAACAGCAGGGACCCCUGCAGGAAUACACAGAAGGUGCUCGGUCCCAGGCUGGGCUGGGGCUGGACCCAGGGAGACUUUCCCAUAUGUGCAUGGAAGCUCUGGAAGGCACAGAGGCUGGACAAGAAUCCAAACCAGAAUCCCAUCCGACCUUCUCACUUUGCAGAAGCAGAAACCCAGACUCCGAAGAGCACAGGCAAGGCAGGAAGAGUUGAGGCGCUCAAGCCGAGCCCCCAGAUCUGCCCAGUCGGCAUGGACCUCCUCAGAGGACUCUGGAGCAGCCCUGGUAGGAGGGUCCCCACACUAGGGCAGGUCAAGGGCCCAGGGAUGGAAGGAGCUAUGCAGUUUCAAAGCCUGAACAGCAGCAACUGAAAGCUAGCCAGGCCAUACCACUCCUGUCCCUGACCUGCCCCAACCUGCCCACACUGAGGAGGGGAGAAGUGACAUCUGCGGACCAACAGGGAACAUCCCAGAAAAAUUUGCCACAAAGAACCACAGCUCCUGGGGUGAGCUCACAAACAGUUUCUUAAAGGCAUAUACAGACUCAACAAGAUGGAGUGGACCAAAUCAAGCUGAAGACAGUGAUCUCUCUCCUCGUCCCACCUACAGUCACCUCCAUUUUUCUGGAGACUGAGAAGAAAAAUUCUAGAACAUCCCUGCCUCACCCUAGUCGAAAACACUGACAAGAAACUGGAGAAACUCCAGGCCAGGCGACAGGCUCAGGCCAGACGCAGCAGGUUCCAGUUACCAGAACCUUUGGGUUCUGGAGGUGCUAACCCACAGUGCUCUGUGUAAAGGUCUUGCUACCGGCCAUCAAGACCUGCAAUUAUGAGGGAGAGCCAACAAAUGGGCAUCUCUGCAGCUGGUGGGAAGACAAUAAGAUUUGCCCCAUGAACAAAGAUGACUCAGAGGAACAGAAGGGAAAUAACAUUUAUGGCACUUAGUAUUUGUUGUCUAUGGUUGUGUGACAAAUGACCCCCAAACUUUGUGGUUUAAAAAAAUAA
Long non-coding RNA from Canis lupus familiaris (dog), 1025 nucleotides. RefSeq lists it as uncharacterized. The transcript has 4 exons. The record is from RefSeq and is a predicted model, not a curated record. NCBI's taxonomy places the organism in Eukaryota, Metazoa, Chordata, Mammalia, Carnivora, Canidae.